This 202-nucleotide microRNA precursor is filed under the name Oryza nivara. RNAcentral describes it as "MIR812 microRNA precursor family". It matches the Rfam family "MIR812 microRNA precursor family". Lineage: Eukaryota; Viridiplantae; Streptophyta; Magnoliopsida; Poales; Poaceae. The record is from Rfam by way of RNAcentral.
AAUAGAUGACGCCGUUGACUUUUUCUCACAUGUUUGACCAUUCGUCUUAUUCAAAAAAAUUACGUAAUUAUAAUUUAUUUUGUUAUGAGUUUUUUUAUCACUCAUAGUACUUUAAAUGUGAUUUAUAUCUUAUACAUUUGUAUAAAAUUUUUGAAAGACGAAUGGUCAAACAUGUGAGAAAAAGUUAACGGCGUCAUCUAUU